This is a long non-coding RNA of Salvia hispanica, 858 nucleotides long. RefSeq lists it as uncharacterized. Lineage: Eukaryota; Viridiplantae; Streptophyta; Magnoliopsida; Lamiales; Lamiaceae. The record is from RefSeq and is a predicted model, not a curated record.
AACACAUUCCCACGACCUGAUAAAAACAUUCAGGUUGUAGGCUUCCAGCUACUACUAUUCUUAUAGGUUGUGUAACUCUAUCACAGGCAGUAUAAGGAUUGAUCCUUUUCUCCCUCCUCCUGAAAACAAACACUUAUCCCAAAUUUAUCCUCGUCCCUCUCCAAAUUCAAGCAACUAUUCACACAAUCGUCAUCCUCGUCGUUCUAAUUUCACUCCUUUGCCAAAUUGGACUUGAUCUCUGCAUCAGGAUGCCGAUUCCGUGAACAAUCAACCCACUCAGUCUCGCCCAUGGAACAAUCAACCCACUCAAUUUCCAUGAACAAUUGAUAAGGCUAAUUUCAUGCAUUGGUUAUAGGGAUAAAUUUUGUGCUUUCCUGGGUCUAACAAGAUUUUAUAAGCCAGGUGUGUAGAGAAAUCGCCAGCCCCAGGAAGAAGACGAAGAUUGCCUGGAAGAAGAAGCUGGCGGGAAAAGUGAGCGGAAGAAGGAAGAGUUACUAGACUAAGGAGCAUCCAAUUAGAGGGAAAAAUGGGAAUUACAAGAACAGUCUAGAAGCUCUACCUACUAUAAAUAAGAGCACGCGAUCAACAUGAAGAUAUCUCUUUUUCCACAUCGGCUCUUAGCUUAGUUUUUCCAUUUUUCUCUACACACACUUGAGGGGAAUCAUUCUGGGGAGUUCACGUUUCGGAUCUAGUUGUGGUGUAACACCAUCUCUACGGAGGCGAAGAUACAAUCGUUAUUUGCUUUCAGUUUAUAUUCCGUAUUUUCCCGAGUCUUCGUUGUUCGAAGCUCGGUUGUGUUUUGUUAUUCUCUCGUUGGAUACUUUGUAUCUUGCUAUGGAGAUUUCUAUUUUGGUUUCA